RNAcentral lists this ribosomal RNA (253 nucleotides) under uncultured bacterium. Its description in RNAcentral is "partial 16S ribosomal RNA". It matches the Rfam family "Bacterial small subunit ribosomal RNA", at positions 524 to 776 of the family's 1533-position model. The record is from RNAcentral.
UACGUAUGGUGCAAGCGUUAUCCGGAUUUACUGGGUGUAAAGGGAGCGCAGGCGGCACGGCAAGCCUGAUGUGAAAGCCCGCGGCCCAACCGCGGGACUGCAUUGGGAACCACCGGGCUGGAGUGCCGGAGAGGUAGGCGGAAUUCCUAGUGUAGCGGUGAAAUGCGUAGAUAUUAGGAGGAACACCAGUGGCGAAGGCGGCCUACUGGACGGUGACUGACGCUGAGGCUCGAAAGCGUGGGGAGCAAACAGG